This 253-nucleotide ribosomal RNA is filed under the name uncultured bacterium. Its description in RNAcentral is "partial 16S ribosomal RNA". It matches the Rfam family "Bacterial small subunit ribosomal RNA", at positions 524 to 776 of the family's 1533-position model. The record is from RNAcentral.
GACGAAGGUGGCUAGCGUUAUUCGGAUUUACUGGGCAUAAAGCGCACGUAGGCGGCGCGGUAAGUCGGAGGUGAAAGCCCACAGCUCAACUGUGGAACCGCCCCCGAUACUGCCGUGCUUGAGUGCAGGAGGGGUGACUGGAACUCCAGGUGUAGCGGUGAAAUGCGUAGAUAUCUGGAGGAACACCAGAGGCGAAGGCGGGUCACUGGACUGCAACUGACGCUGAGGUGCGAAAGCUAGGGGAGCAAACAGG